AGUGAACGCUGGCGGUAGGCCUAACACAUGCAAGUCGAACGGCAGCACAGUAAGAGCUUGCUCUUACGGGUGGCGAGUGGCGGACGGGUGAGGAAUACAUCGGAAUCUACUUUUUCGUGGGGGAUAACGUAGGGAAACUUACGCUAAUACCGCAUACGACCUACGGGUGAAAGCAGGGGAUCUUCGCACCUUGCGCGACUGAAUGAGCCGAUGUCGGAUUAGCUAGUUGGCUGGGUAAAGGCCCACCAAGGCGACGAUCCGUAGCUGGUCUGAGAGGAUGAUCGGCCACACUGGAACUGAGACACGGUCCAGACUCCUACGGGAGGCAGCAGUGGGGAAUAUUGGACAAUGGGCGCAAGCCUGAUCCAGCCAUACCGCGUGGGUGAAGAAGGCCUUCGGGUUGUAAAGCCCUUUUGUUGGGAAAGAAAAGCAGCAGGUUAAUACCCCGCUGUUCUGACGGUACCCAAAGAAUAAGCACCGGCUAACUUCGUG
This 492-nucleotide ribosomal RNA is filed under the name uncultured bacterium. Its description in RNAcentral is "partial 16S ribosomal RNA". It matches the Rfam family "Bacterial small subunit ribosomal RNA", at positions 29 to 507 of the family's 1533-position model. The record is from RNAcentral.